CAGGGCAGCCAACGUGAAAUCUGAUAAGAGUACCCUCUACACCUGGAGCGAACCUAAAACUAGACUUGUGUAGAGCCUGUCUGCAAUAUAUGGGAUAAUGUGAUAGAUUACAUGUGGUUUGUGUAGCAACACUAGAUUGCAGUCCUAGCAAUGAAAGGUAUAUGCCGUGUCUGACCUUGGGUUGUAAAUAUCUUCCGCUUGACGUAAAGUUUCUCAUGCUUCAAUAUUAAGACGCGUUACCAAAGAACUGUACUAUUUAGCAAAGGGAAACUAUACUUAAUCGAGAUACAAUGUUCAGAGUCUACUUCAGCGGAGAGUAUGAGACGUCCAGGAGAUGUCACCUCAAUGGUGCCUAUAACCUCUUGGUUAAGGACACAAGCUUGUGCCUGUGCGAUCUCGCUUCUAACCGGGUCCUUUAUGAAUGGCCGCACAAGUAUAUCCGAAGAUAUGGGAAAACACAUUCGUCAUUCCAUUUUGAAGCUGGAAGAAGGUGUCCAACUGGUGAAGGUGAAUUCGUUAUGGAAACAAACCAAUGUCCUGAAAUUUUAAGAGCUGUCAGAGGAACAUGGAAAACAUCAUCAGAAAGAGGGCAGACAAGAGGUAUGUCGAUGUAUGCGAUCUCCUGAUGAGGAACAGAGAGCUGCUGAAGGCCACACGAACGUAAAUAUCAUCGGUGCAAGACAAGGCUUUUUAGACAAGAACAGGUCUAGGGAUACCGGCGGUGUUUACAGUGAACCGUAUAGUAUAGACACAGGAGAAACCUAUCUGACGGCAGUUGCAGAGAAACAACAUUACAACAGAGACGCGCUCGAUGGCAGUCGUGCUGGACACCCUCCCAAGUCAGAUGCGGAACACAUAUACAGUGAGCCAUAUACCUCAUAGACUGUUCUUCAUAACAGAUGGUAUCUUAAAGGAACGUGUUCAUUGUUUAUGUUUCUUGAUUGUUUAACGCUGUGCCCAGCAACAUUACAGCAAUAUGACUGCGAUCAAUAAUUGGUUCUGUACCAAGCAGCCGUGUAUUGACUUACUGAGUAUCGAUUUAUGCAAACGGGACAACUGACCCGUGAAGAUCCGGUUUAAUAUUGGUCUUCAGCAACCAAUACUUGUCAUAAGAGGCGAUAAAUGGGAUCGGGUGGUCAGGCUAACUGACUUUGUUGACACAUGUCAUCGUACCCCAGUUGCGUAGAUCGAUGCUCAUAAUGCCAGUCACUGGAUUGUCUGGUCCAGACUCGAUUAUUUACGGACGACCGCCAUAUAGCUGGAAUGUCGCUGAGUGCGAGGUUACAUAACGAACAAAUAACACAAUUACAAUUAUGUAAGUCUCAUUGUUUCUCACAACUUUUUCAAUUUUCACAAUUGUUGUUUUGUUUGGAAAUUAUCAUGUCACGUAUUUAUCUCUUGUACUUUGUUAUCUCGAAAUGUUUAUCUUGAAGUUUGUUAAAGAUGCUAUAAAGAAACACUCUUUUUUAUUUAUCUGCUUCAUUAUUUUCCAGAUGGGAUUCCUUGGCCUGUCGUGUGCUUUUUUCUUGCAUUUGUAUGUAAACUGAAGUAUGUAUUGUGAUGCAAAUAUAUUUCAAUCACUGGGCCAAUAAAACAGAAAUUGACCAAGAACUGCAGCUGAUCUUGAGACUUACAAAUACAAAUAGGGAUAUUGUUUUGGCUGAAGCAAAUACAUCGUCAAAUAAAUGAAUUAUCUCAAUAUGAAUAACAUAUGUCAAUAAUACUAGUAUGAAUAUAUGUGAGUAUAUGUGAGUGAAGUGUACUUAAUCC
Molecule: unclassified non-coding RNA, 1770 nt
Filed under: Haliotis rubra (blacklip abalone)
Lineage: Eukaryota; Metazoa; Mollusca; Gastropoda; Lepetellida; Haliotidae
Description: docking protein 2-like, transcript variant X1
Source: RNAcentral